Asparagus officinalis (garden asparagus) is the source of this 984-nucleotide long non-coding RNA. RefSeq lists it as uncharacterized. The record is from RefSeq and is a predicted model, not a curated record. The transcript has 3 exons. NCBI's taxonomy places the organism in Eukaryota, Viridiplantae, Streptophyta, Magnoliopsida, Asparagales, Asparagaceae.
UUGAGUGACACCCGUGUUUGCCGAUGAUGUGAGGAACAAGGUCUUGAAUGACAUUGAUCUGGAUUGUGGUCAUCGGGUUGAUGCUUGGAUAAUGCACCCCAUCCAUAGAGUUAAUACUAGGUCCCCUAACAACUUGUCCCAUGUUGGUUCGCAGUUGAGCUUCGGGUAUUAUAGCAGGCUGCACUUCAAACACGAGAGGCUCCAUGUAUGUGUACAGAUCUGCAGGUAGUGUAACCAGUGUUUUAAAUAUCGACCGACAUGUCGGUCGAUAUUGCGGUUUGAGUGGGCAAGCGACACGAAUCGGGAUAAAUAAAGUCGGAUGGCGUUUUUCGGCUAAAAAUCGGAUAUAUCGGCUAAAAAUCGGAUAUUUCGGCCGAUAUUUCACUUUGCAAAAAUCGGCCGAUUUUUAUGAUUAUCGGUUCAUGAUAUUAGGUUUGGUUUGAUUCAUUGGGCUCAGUUCGAACCCGAUAAUAGACCCGAUCAAAUACAAAAAGGAGAAAACCCUAGGGCUCAGUUCGAAACUUCGAACCCAGCAGCCUUCUCUUGUCUUCGUCGUCGUUGAAAAAACCCUAGGGUUCUCUCGUCUUCGUCGUUGAAAACCGAGCGAAGUCAAGCCACCUUCUCGUCUUCGUCUUCGUCGUUGAAAAACGAACCCAGCACCAUCGAAGCAGCAUGAAGCUUUCUCGUCUUCGUCGACUUUGAGCCGCCUUGACUUCGUCCUUGAAGCCUUCUCGUCUUCGUCCUUGAAAGCCGCAUUUUCGAAGAACCUUCUCGUCUUCGUCGUUGAAAUCUGAAGCCGAAGCCAUCGAACCUUCUCGUCUUCGUCAUCGCUAGCUUCAAACGUCACAGACUUUAAUAAAAGGGAUUAUUUCCUGCUGUUGACUGUUAAGUUGCUGACUGCUAAGUAAAAGGAAUUAUUGAUUUUUUUCUCAAAAUCAGCUUCAGUUUGUGCCGAAUCUGCUGGUGACUGCUAAAAACUUCAUC